Molecule: long non-coding RNA, 958 nt
Filed under: Ailuropoda melanoleuca (giant panda)
Lineage: Eukaryota; Metazoa; Chordata; Mammalia; Carnivora; Ursidae
Description: lncRNA (ENSAMEG00000024077.1)
Source: RNAcentral
UGGGAACCCUGGAUCUGGCAACACUGCCCUUCAUGCCAUGUGUUAUGCCAGAGGCUGAGACUGGAAAGUGCACCUGUCAUGGCCUUGCCUUGCAGAGGGGAAGACAGAAAAGCCGGUGUGUUUGGCAACACACAGCCAAUAAUAUUCAACAGGCUGCUUUCAGAGCAUCUCUUUCCAGACACAGCAAACAGUCGUUUGCAAGAAUCAGCAUCAUAUCCACCCUGGACCGUGAGUUGUGCUGGACACAGAGAAAUCGAAAGUGAGCCAGAGCCAUUUCCUUCCCUAAAGGGGCUCGCAUUACAAGAGACACUGUCGCAGAAGCAGGAGAUCACCCUGGGCUGUGGCGAGCGCUGUUAGGAAGGACAUCAGGAUGUUAUCGAAGACACGAGGAGAGCCCCCAGCUCCAAUUUAGCAGGAGAGGGACGACCUCUCAGAAGAAGUGGCACCCACACUGCAUAUAAUCCGUAGUUUCCAAUGACCCCACACUACACACAAGUUGAGUCAGUUUUAACAAACAGGUCAAUGUAAUUUAGGUAGAUACAGGGUAAGGGCACUGUCCGGUGACACGUUUUCGUUUCCCCUCUGUGCCAACAAUGUUUCGGUUAAAAAGACAAGUAGGGCCAUGGUGCUGAAUAAGAGAGAGUAAGGGGCUCCUGUAUCAAUAAGGAAAUUGAUAACUUAUCUCCUACGUCCAGGGUAACCCAGGGCUCCCUCAUCUUGCUGUCACAGGGAGCCAGACCAACCUCAGGGUCCCAUCAUGCCAGGCCCUCCGGUUCCUGCCUUCCUCUCUCCCUGGAGUUGAGGGCAGUGUCUCUCUCCCAAUGUCUUUCUUUCUUUCUUUCUUUCUUUCUUUCUUUCUUUCUUUCUUUCUUUCUUUCUUUCUUCUUUUUUCUUUCUUUCUUUCAUUUCUUUUUUUUAACAGACAGGACAUGGCCCUGGGGGAGAGCCUUGGUUUGGA